AGUGAUUCUUCCAGUGGACAGUGGCCCUGUUCAGUUCCUCUUGAUGACAGUUUCCUGAUGUCUGCAGUGCCUUAGCUGACUGUGCUUUUGAGCUUCUGCAGUUUCUAAGAUAUAUAUGUGCAGCCUGUCCCAUUGGCUGUGCCCCCACCAGAGUCGCACAUUGGUUGUGGGUGAUGAACCUACAUGAUCCCUUAUACCCACCCAUCAUGUCUGCAGUUUACAUUAGGAUUUGCUCCUGGUGCUGUACAUUUCAUGGGUGGCUGGGCUGAGGGCCAGUCAGUGUUCCCAGAGAAUCCAGGAAGCAGUCAUGGCCUAUAGACAGGGUUGUGCCUCCGGCUGGAUUCACACCCCUGUUUCUGCUGCUGCUGGACUUAAUUGAUAAACUGGUACUAGCACUGAACUAUCCCACUACCCUCCAAGCUUUGUGCCACUUCUGAGCUGGGCUGCCUGCUGCAAGUAGAGUUUGAGAACAUACCUUAUAGCUAGCACAAAGUAGGGGAGUUGGUAGUAGAAGGCAGCAGAGGCCAUGGUACCCUUAGUAGCACACAAUGAAUCCACAAACAUCUCCCAAGAAAAAGGGAUUACAGGACCUGAGGACAGUCUAAACUUUCCAAGAGCAGAAGUAUAUAUAUAUGGACAAAGACCAACACGGACAAACUGUGCUUCUGAUUUGGGAUCCAUUCACACAGAAGACAUCAUGAAGGCCCAAGUCCUUGGUCCCAUCAAAGGACAAGGGUCUUGGUGGAG
RNAcentral lists this long non-coding RNA (747 nucleotides) under Cricetulus griseus (Chinese hamster). Its description in RNAcentral is "lncRNA (ENSCGRG00015035280.1)". The record is from RNAcentral. Lineage: Eukaryota; Metazoa; Chordata; Mammalia; Rodentia; Cricetidae.